Molecule: long non-coding RNA, 782 nt
Organism: Dendrobium catenatum
Lineage: Eukaryota; Viridiplantae; Streptophyta; Magnoliopsida; Asparagales; Orchidaceae
Exons: 3
Source: RefSeq, a predicted model, not a curated record
CCCCAGCCUUUACUCUCCCUCUUACCCAUUGGUUCCGCUCUGGAGAAGGCUGAAGCCUCCCGAUUUCCCUCUCCUGGCCGAAGCUGCGAGCAAGACUUCACUUGGCUAGGGAUAUGUUCGAGUAGGAGCUCCGAUCCUCUCUGGCUCGUACGCCCCAGCCAGGCCGAUCCCUCCUCCUCCGCUCCCUUGCUCUUGUUCAACUUCAGCCCUUAGGCCACACGCCUACUCCCGAGCCAUGGCAAAUCAAUCUAGGUAUCAGAAAGCCAAGCUGAGGACCUUCCAGCACCUAAAUCCCGCCCUAAUCUCAACUGAUGAAGAAACUCCUUCCGGCUCCAAUCGCAACCAACGCCUCCUUCGACGACGUUCCUUCCGGUCGGGUCGGCAGCUCGCCGUUUCUUGUUGGAUCGGAAGUAAAGAUGACGACGAGUUGAGGGGUCGUGUUGGAUUGACCCAGGUCUGAAGCAGGGUCAAUUUCAGGAUGCUUGGCAUAAGAUGGUAGAGAGGUUUAAAGCAUACUCCCUAAACACAACGGUGCUUAGUUCUCUCAAGUUCUUGGAAGCAAACUCAAAGCUCGCUGUCUUCCUCUGCUUCCUCCACAGCUCUCCAUCUGCGUUAAAUAUCCCAUCUCCUAGCAGAACCUCCAUGAUCUGCAGUGUAAGUGUAAGUAGUGAAGGGCAUGGGAACACUAAUGGUCUUUGACUCAGAUAAGUAAUUGGCAAUCCAAUCAUGCAUGCGAUCAUAGUUCUUAAACUGUUCAAUGGCAGCUCCAAUGAGAGGCCAUG